Lolium perenne is the source of this 1422-nucleotide long non-coding RNA. RefSeq lists it as uncharacterized. NCBI's taxonomy places the organism in Eukaryota, Viridiplantae, Streptophyta, Magnoliopsida, Poales, Poaceae. The record is from RefSeq and is a predicted model, not a curated record.
UAGCUGGCCAUUCCGUUCUUUGUAUUUUUUUGUAUUGAAAUCACUUAUCAGGAUGCCAAUUACAUGAGUUCAUAACAUGCAAAGAUGAUAGAGCUACAGAGACUAAGACUAAGAACUGGGAAAAGUUAUGGGCGAUCCAGGCUCCCAACAAGAUGAAAAUUGUACUCUGGCGGAUGAUACACGAUUACCUAGUGGGAGAACAAUUACAACACAGACACAUCUCGACUGAGGAUAACUGUGUGUUCUGUGGUCGUGAAUCAGCCCACGACAUGGAGCACACGGAAUGGAGUUGAGAAAUAAAUGUCCAUUCGAGGACAUUGCAUCAGUAUUAACAAUUUACCAUGCUGAACAAAGCUCCUCUAUUGAAACCGAACACGGUAGCUGUGGUACUGUCCCAUUUAUACAAGAGACUAUAUGAAAAUUAAUCAUAUUCCCAGAAAUCUGAUUUUGUAAUACUUCAUACCCCUUUUAUGCCAGGCUUGAAUGCUUUCUGAAAGUUCUGCCUUAGUACUAGCCAUUCCGAGUUAUGUAGAAUAGUAUUACACUACAUCCUUGUCAGUCACAAGCUUGUCUUGGACAGGCUCCACCUGAACCCGAACAAGCUGCAACACCUAUUUAACUAUAGUUGAAGAGUCAUGUAGCUGUUUUCCUUGUAAAUGGUUUCUGAUUACCUGAAGCAAUUGCUUCACUCUUAGUUCAUGUUCACUGCAUAUUUUUCACUAGCAUAACAUGCCCUAUAUAGGAUGCUCCUGUUUGAUAAAUAACACUAGAUGACUCAGCUACAUAUAUUUAAACAAAAAUGGGAAUAUAAUAAUACCAUUCUCAUGAUUUUAUGAUAUUUUCAUGUCGUAGGUGUAUCUUAUUUUAUCUGGUUCAGUAACUCUUAUUCUCUUGCUUUUGUGCAUGUGGUCUGAUGUUCGUGCUAUGAAGACCACCACCAACAUUAGCAGGCCAAUGGUUUUGAGUCACUCAAAGAAAUUGUCCAGGUCGAGGAAAUCACAGAACAAGGUUGUUCCUUGCGCUAACCCAACGACCGAAGAGCAGCAGGAGAGAUAAACAUUGAGUUCCAAACUUCUUUAUCCUUUCAAGUUCCACCAAACAAAGAAGUAAAGAUGAACCAGCUUAGCUCUCGGGCGUCAUCUUACAUGAUUUGAAUGAAACCAGGCCUUUUUACCUGAUUCUUUGGAGAAGUUUGGACCCAUGAAAAUCCAUAUCUAAAAAACUAGAUUUGAAGCUCCCCUUGUGCACCACUCUCCCUAAAACAAACUGCACUUCUGUAUAUAGCUGAAUAUCUUUAUUGUGGUGUCAUGUCCAUGUAAUGUACUUGCUUACGAAUGUUUCCUUCAAUUAGUGUCAUCUACCAGAUCAUAUCCGGAAUUGUUGUACUGCAAGAAUGCUUUUUAAUACACAUUUUUUAUGUCC